Molecule: ribosomal RNA, 196 nt
Filed under: uncultured bacterium
Lineage: Bacteria
Description: partial 16S ribosomal RNA
Rfam family: Bacterial small subunit ribosomal RNA
Source: RNAcentral
ACGCUCGACACCUACGGGAGGGAGCAGUGGGGAAUAUUGCACAAUGGGCGAAAGCCUGAUGCAGCAGCGCCGCGUGAGCGAAGAAGGCCUUCGGUCGUAAAGCUCUGUCCUCAAGGAAGAUAAUGACGGUACUUGAGGAGGAAGCCCGGCUAACUACGUGCCAGCAGCCACGGUAAUCUGAGCGGGCUGGCAAGGC